UACAUGUGGGGCAAGCGUUGUUCGGAAUUACUGGGCAUAAAGGGUGCGUAGGCGGCUUGUUAAGUCAGGGGUGAAAUCCCACGGCCCAACCGUGGGAACUGCCUUUGAUACUGGCGAGCUUGAGUGCGUGAGGGGUAACCGGAACGAGUAGUGUAGCGGUGAAAUGCGUAGAUAUUACUCGGAAGGCCAAAGGCGAAGGCAGGUUACUGGUACGCAACUGACGCUGAGGCACGAAAGCGUGGGGAGCAAACAGG
RNAcentral lists this ribosomal RNA (254 nucleotides) under uncultured bacterium. RNAcentral's name for it is "partial 16S ribosomal RNA". It matches the Rfam family "Bacterial small subunit ribosomal RNA", at positions 524 to 776 of the family's 1533-position model. The record is from RNAcentral.